AGUGAACGCUGGCGGUAGGCCUAACACAUGCAAGUCGAACGGCAGCACAGUAAGAGCUUGCUCUUACGGGUGGCGAGUGGCGGACGGGUGAGGAAUACAUCGUAAUCUACUUUUUCGUGGGGGAUAACGUAGGGAAACUUACGCUAAUACCGCAUACGACCUACGGGUGAAAGCAGUGGAUCUUCGCACCUUGCGCGAUUGAAUGAGCCGAUGUCGGAUUAGCUAGUUGGCGGGGUAAAGGCCCACCAAGGCGACGAUCCGUAGCUGGUCUGAGAGGAUGAUCGGCCACACUGGAACUGAGACACGGUCCAGACUCCUACGGGAGGCAGCAGUGGGGAAUAUUGGACAAUGGGCGCAAGCCUGAUCCAGCCAGACCGCGUGGGUGAAGAAGGCCUUCGGGUUGUAAAGCCCUUUUGUUGGGAAAGAAACGCAGCAGGUUAAUACCCCGCUGUUCUGACGGUAACCAAAGAAUAAGCACCGGCUAACUUCGUG
This 492-nucleotide ribosomal RNA is filed under the name uncultured bacterium. RNAcentral's name for it is "partial 16S ribosomal RNA". It matches the Rfam family "Bacterial small subunit ribosomal RNA", at positions 29 to 507 of the family's 1533-position model. The record is from RNAcentral.